CUUCUGUGGCAGAGCUUAACGGAGACCUUGCACCCGAGAAGGGGAGGCGACUAUAAACCAACUCCAGCGCAAGUCAGCCCUGCUGGCAACACAAUCGAAUUGCGGGGACGCUCUAAGGCUCAUCGGUACCAACUGCCCCUCGAGGGGUAGGGCUAGCUAUGCUAGAGGUCACAACCCGGUGAGAUGCCACAAUGAGCAAUCCGCAGCGGCCUUGAGCCGUCCACAGACUAAGUGGUUGUGGGUAGGAGGCCCCUACUUAAGAUAUAGUCGGGCCCUGUAGGUUGCUACAGGGGUUCUGCGUCCGUAGGUGAACCUGCGGAAGGAUCAUUAUCAGGUUAAAGGAGCACCGGUGUGAAAGCUGGUGUCUACCGAACCCGUGUCUAUAUACUCUUGUUGCUUUGGCAGGCCGUGGGAAACCACUGCGGGCUUCGGCUUGCAAGCGCCUGCCAGAGGACCAAACUCUGAAUGUUAGUGAUGUCUGAGUACUAUAUAAUAGUUAAAACUUUCAACAACGGAUCUCUUGGUUCUGGCAUCGAUGAAGAACGCAGCGAAAUGCGAUAAGUAAUGUGAAUUGCAGAAUUCAGUGAAUCAUCGAAUCUUUGAACGCACAUUGCGCCCCGUGGUAUUCCGCGGGGCAUGCCUGUUCGAGCGUCAUUAUAACCACUCAAGCCUGGCUUGGUAUUGGGACACGCCCUAACCGGCGGUCCCUAAAAUCAGUGGCGGUGCCUGUAGGCUCUCAGCGUAGUAAAAUUCCUCGCUAUAGAGUCCUGCGGGUUCCCUGCCAGAACCCCCAUAUUUUUUCAGGUUGACCUCGGAU
This 817-nucleotide unclassified non-coding RNA is filed under the name Mollisia sp. IHEM 28160. RNAcentral describes it as "sequence contains 18S rRNA gene, ITS1, 5.8S rRNA gene, ITS2, 28S rRNA gene". The stretch from base 501 to 654 matches the Rfam family "5.8S ribosomal RNA". The record is from RNAcentral. Lineage: Eukaryota; Fungi; Ascomycota; Leotiomycetes; Helotiales; Mollisiaceae.